Cercocebus atys (sooty mangabey) is the source of this 399-nucleotide long non-coding RNA. RefSeq lists it as uncharacterized. The transcript has 2 exons. The record is from RefSeq and is a predicted model, not a curated record. NCBI's taxonomy places the organism in Eukaryota, Metazoa, Chordata, Mammalia, Primates, Cercopithecidae.
UUACUUUGUCGUCUUCUUUUUUUUGCUGGAUACUCUUCUAAAAUCUAAAUACAGGCCGGGUGCGGUGGCUCACCCCAGUUCCCUCAUUUUUAUUUGCAGUGUCUGGCGUAAGAGAGGCACAAAGGACAUAUGAUGGAGGAAUAAUGAGGUGUUCUUGUUUGUUUCCAAGUAUCCAUGUGGUGUAAAGAGCCCUGGCUUUGUCAUCUGGCAGACUUGGGGCUGAAUCCAGGCUUGGCUCUGUCACCGACAAGCCCUGGGGCCCAUUCUCUAACUUUUCUGAGUCUCUAUUUCCUCAUAAAUAAAAUAGAACAACUACCUAACUGAGUUAAUCGAUAUAAAUAAAAUGUAUAAGAACAGUGUACAGAAACCAAUCACUGGAAAUAAAAGUCAUUCAAUGUA